GCCAGAGCUGUAUUAAAAUUCUGGAGGCUUUUUAAAAUUUUUAAUUUGUUCUACUUAGUUGUACAAAUAGACAGUAUAAUACAUUUAGAUAGCAGAAUGCAUUUUAAUUUACUGUACAAAAAUGGAGUGCAACAUUUCAAUUCUCUGGUUGUACAUGGUGUAGUGGGGUAAUGAUGUCCCAUUUCAUUCCACCAUCUUUCCUAUCCUCAUAAUCCCUUCCCACUGUCUCCUUUGCCCAAUCUAAAGUUCUUUCAUUCUUUGUAUGGCCCCUUCUCCAUCAUAGAUCAGCUCCAUAAUCAGAGAAAACACUU
This 311-nucleotide long non-coding RNA is filed under the name Marmota monax (woodchuck). Lineage: Eukaryota; Metazoa; Chordata; Mammalia; Rodentia; Sciuridae. The record is from RNAcentral.